UGUAGGAGUGAGCCUGCUCGCGAUAGCGCUGUGUCAGCCCCGAAACAUUAACCUGACACAGCGCAAUCGCGAGCAGGCUCACUCCUACA
This 89-nucleotide unclassified non-coding RNA is filed under the name Pseudomonas granadensis. The record is from RNAcentral. Lineage: Bacteria; Pseudomonadati; Pseudomonadota; Gammaproteobacteria; Pseudomonadales; Pseudomonadaceae.